This 398-nucleotide ribosomal RNA is filed under the name Ventrifissuridae sp. Its description in RNAcentral is "partial small subunit ribosomal RNA". It matches the Rfam family "Eukaryotic small subunit ribosomal RNA", at positions 582 to 975 of the family's 1831-position model. Lineage: Eukaryota; Cercozoa; Thecofilosea; Ventricleftida; Ventrifissuridae. The record is from RNAcentral.
AUUCCAGCUCCAGUAGCGUAUAUUAAAGUUGUUGCAGUUAAAAAGCUCGUAGUUGGAUUUCUGGUACGCUGCGCCUGAGCCGCCUGCUUUAAGCAUGGUGUGUCUCGGAGCGCGGUUGCCAUCCUUCUAGAAAGCGUUCCUAUCCUUCGCUGGACCGGAUUCGCAAUCUAGAUCUUUUACUUUGAAAAAAUUAGAGUGUUUAAAGCAGGCUUAUGCUAUGAAUACAUUAGCAUGGAAUAAUAAUAUAGGACUUUGGUUCUAUUUUGUUGGUUUCUAGAACUAAAGUAAUGAUUGAUAGGGAUAGUUGGGGGUGCUAGUAUUCAGCGGCCAGAGGUGAAAUUCUUGGAUUCGCUGAAGACUAACUUAUGCGAAAGCAUUCACCAAGGAUGUCUUCAUCA